RNAcentral lists this ribosomal RNA (440 nucleotides) under uncultured bacterium. Its description in RNAcentral is "bacterial SSU rRNA". It matches the Rfam family "Bacterial small subunit ribosomal RNA", at positions 338 to 795 of the family's 1533-position model. The record is from RNAcentral.
CCUACGGGUGGCUGCAGUGGGGAAUAUUGCACAAUGGGGGAAACCCUGAUGCAGCAACGCCGCGUGAGCGAUGAAGGCCUUCGGGUCGUAAAGCUCUGUCCUAAGGGAAGAAUACUGACGGUACCUUAGGUGGAAACCCCGGCUAACUACGUGCCAGCUGCCGCGGUAAUACGUAGGGGGCUAGCGUUAUCCGGAAUUACUGGGCGUAAAGGGUGCGUAGGCGGCCCUUCAAGUCAGAGGUGAAAGGCUACGGCUCUACCGUAGUAAGCCUUAGCAAGUGAAGGGCUUGAGUGCAGGAGAGGAGAGUGGAGUUCCCGGUGUAGCCGUAGAAUGCGUAGGUAUUGGGAGGAACGGCAGGAACGAGGGCAGGUCUAUGGACUGGAUCUGGCGCUGGGGCACGAGAGCGUGGGGAGCGAACAGGAUUAGAUACCCGGGUAGUC